RNAcentral lists this ribosomal RNA (253 nucleotides) under uncultured bacterium. RNAcentral describes it as "partial 16S ribosomal RNA". It matches the Rfam family "Bacterial small subunit ribosomal RNA", at positions 524 to 776 of the family's 1533-position model. The record is from RNAcentral.
UACGUAGGGUGCAAGCGUUGUCCGGAAUUAUUGGGCGUAAAGAGCUCGUAGGCGGUCUGUCGUGUCGGCUGUGAAAACCCGGGGCUCAAUCCCGGGCCUGCAGUCGAUACGGGCAGACUAGAGUGUGGUAGGGGAGACUGGAAUUCCGGGUGUAGCGGUGGAAUGCGUAGAGAUCCGGAAGAACACCAGUGGCGAAGGCGGCCCGCUGGGCAGUGGCUGACGCUGAGGCGCGACAGCGUGGGGAGCAAACAGG